Molecule: ribosomal RNA, 497 nt
Filed under: uncultured bacterium
Lineage: Bacteria
Description: partial 16S ribosomal RNA
Rfam family: Bacterial small subunit ribosomal RNA
Source: RNAcentral
GAUGAACGCUGGCGGCGUGCCUAAUACAUGCAAGUCGAGCGAAAGGACGAGAAGCUUUCUCCUUUGAUGUUAGCGACUGACGGGUGAGUAAGGCGUGGAUAACCUACCUAUUAGACUGGGAUGACUUCGGAAGACAAGAGCUAAUAACGGAGCAUAUUUCCAACCGCUUAGAUCAAGAGUUAAACACGGUCUUGCUGUCACUUAUAGCUGGAUCCGCACUGCAUUAGCUAGUUGGUAAGGUAACGGCUUACCGAGGCAACGAUCCAUAGCUGAUCUGAGAGGAUGAUCAGCCACACUGGAACUGAGACACGGUCCAGACUCCUACGGGAGGCAGCAGUAGGGAAUAUUCUGCAAUGGGCGAAAGCCUGACCGAGCAACGCCGCGUGAGUGAUGAAGGUCUUCGGAUUGUAAAACCCUUUUAUUAGGGAAGAACAUAUGUAGAAGAAACUGUGCACAUUUUGACGGUACCUAAUCAAAAAGCCCCGGCUAACUACGUG